GACGAACGCUGGCGGCGUGCUUAACACAUGCAAGUCGAACGGAAAGGCCCUGCUUUUGUGGGGUGCUCGAGUGGCGAACGGGUGAGUAACACGUGAGUAACCUGCCCUUGACUUUGAGAUAACUUCAGGAAACUGGGGCUAAUACCGGAUAGGAGCUCCUGCUGCAUGGUGGGGGUUGGAAAGUUUCGGCGGUUGGGGAUGGACUCGCGGCUUAUCAGCUUGUUGGUGGGGUAGUGGCUUACCAAGGCUUUGACGGGUAGCCGGCCUGAGAGGGUGACCGGCCACAUUGGGACUGAGAUACGGCCCAGACUCCUACGGGAGGAAGCAGUGGGGAAUAUUGCACAAUGGGCGGAAGCCUGAUGCAGCAACGCCGCGUGCGGGAUGACGGCCUUCGGGUUGUAAACCGCUUUCGCCUGUGACGAAGCGUGAGUGACGGUAAUGGGUAAAGAAGCACCGGCUAACUACGU
Molecule: ribosomal RNA, 467 nt
Filed under: uncultured bacterium
Lineage: Bacteria
Description: partial 16S ribosomal RNA
Rfam family: Bacterial small subunit ribosomal RNA
Source: RNAcentral